Molecule: ribosomal RNA, 465 nt
Filed under: Vreelandella stevensii
Lineage: Bacteria; Pseudomonadati; Pseudomonadota; Gammaproteobacteria; Oceanospirillales; Halomonadaceae
Description: partial 16S ribosomal RNA
Rfam family: Bacterial small subunit ribosomal RNA
Source: RNAcentral
CCUACGGGAGGCAGCAGUGGGGAAUAUUGGACAAUGGGGGGAACCCUGAUCCAGCCAUGCCGCGUGUGUGAAGAAGGCCCUCGGGUUGUAAAGCACUUUCAGUGAGGAAGAACGCCUGGUGGUUAAUACCCAUCAGGAAAGACAUCACUCACAGAAGAAGCACCGGCUAACUCCGUGCCAGCAGCCGCGGUAAUACGGAGGGUGCGAGCGUUAAUCGGAAUUACUGGGCGUAAAGCGCGCGUAGGUGGCUUGAUAAGCCGGUUGUGAAAGCCCCGGGCUCAACCUUGGAACGGCAUCCGGAACUGUCAAGCUAGAGUGCAGGAGAGGAAGGUAGAAUUCCCGGUGUAGCGGUGAAAUGCGUAGAGAUCGGGAGGAAUACCAGUGGCGAAGGCGGCCUUCUGGACUGACACUGACACUGAGGUGCGAAAGCGUGGGUAGCAAACAGGAUUAGAUACCCUGGUAGUC